RNAcentral lists this non-coding RNA (790 nucleotides) under Nelumbo nucifera (sacred lotus). RNAcentral's name for it is "Eukaryotic large subunit ribosomal RNA". It matches the Rfam family "Eukaryotic large subunit ribosomal RNA", at positions 665 to 1455 of the family's 3401-position model. The record is from Rfam by way of RNAcentral. Lineage: Eukaryota; Viridiplantae; Streptophyta; Magnoliopsida; Proteales; Nelumbonaceae.
ACCAAGGAGUCCGACAUGUGUGCGAGUCAACGGGUGAGUAAACCCGUAAGGCGCAAGGAAGCUGACUGGAGGGGUCCCGUUGUGGGUUGCACCACCGACCGACCUAGAUCUUUUGAGAAGGGUUCGAGUGAGAGCAUGCCUGUCGGGACCCGAAAGAUGGUGAACUAUGCCUGAGCGGGGCGAAGCCAGAGGAAACUCUGGUGGAGGCHCGCAGCGAUACUGACGUGCAAAUCGUUCGUCUGACUUGGGUAUAGGGGCGAAAGACUAAUCGAACCGUCUAGUAGCUGGUUCCCUCCGAAGUUUCCCUCCGGAUAGCUGGUGCCCGGGUGCGAGUUCCAUCAGGUAAAGCCAAUGAUUAGAGGCAUCAGGGGCACAACGCCCUCGACCUAUUCUCAAACUUUAAAUAGGUAGGACGGUGUGGCUGUUUCGUUGAACCAUCCCAGGAAAUCGAGAGCUCCAAGUGGGCCAUUUUUGGUAAGCAGAACUGGCGAUGCGGGAUGAACCGAAAGCCGGGUUACGGUGUCCAACUUGGUGCUAACCUAGAACCCACAAAGGGUGUUGGUCGAUUAAGACAGCAAGACGGUGGUCAUGGAUGUCGAAAUCCGCUAAGGAGUGUGUAAAACUUCACCUGCCGAAUCAACUAGCCCCGAAAAUGGAUGGCDCUGAAGCGCGCGACCCAUACCCGGCCGUCGGGGCGAUUGCCAGGCCUCGAUGAGUAGGAGGGCGCGGCGGUUGCUGUAAAACCUGUGGCGUGAGCCUGGGUGGAGCAGUCGUCGGUGCAGAUCUUGGU